GAUGAACGCUGGCGGCGUGCCUAAUACAUGCAAGUCGAGCGAACAGACGAGGAGCUUGCUCCUCUGACGUUAGCGGCGGACGGGUGAGUAACACGUGGAUAACCUACCUAUAAGACUGGGAUAACUUCGGGAAACCGGAGCUAAUACCGGAUAAUAUAUUGAACCGCAUGGUUCAAUAGUGAAAGACGGUUUUGCUGUCACUUAUAGAUGGAUCCGCGCCGCAUUAGCUAGUUGGUAAGGUAACGGCUUACCAAGGCAACGAUGCGUAGCCGACCUGAGAGGGUGAUCGGCCACACUGGAACUGAGACACGGUCCAGACCCCUACGGGAGGCAGCAGUAGGGAAUCUUCCGCAAUGGGCGAAAGCCUGACGGAGCAACGCCGCGUGAGUGAUGAAGGUCUUCGGAUCGUAAAACUCUGUUAUUAGGGAAGAACAAAUGUGUAAGUAACUAUGCACGUCUUGACGGUACCGAAUCAGAAAGCCACGGCUAACUACGU
This 496-nucleotide ribosomal RNA is filed under the name uncultured bacterium. Its description in RNAcentral is "partial 16S ribosomal RNA". It matches the Rfam family "Bacterial small subunit ribosomal RNA", at positions 28 to 506 of the family's 1533-position model. The record is from RNAcentral.